GUGACAUUAGUUACUGUCCCAAACAAUUUAUUUUUUCAAAGGAAGACAAAACUAUCCACUUUUUGAAAUAAGAUGGAUUAAGGCUCAAAGAUGCUCUUUGCCAUGAGUGUUCAGAUGAGGAGGGGAAAAAAAUUUCUUUUGUAAGACCCUUUUCAUGAGGAAUUUCAUGAGCCUGUGAUAAUUAUUUUUAUAGCCCAUACCAUCAACUGAUCUGUCUAUUCUGAUGAAAAUU
This 232-nucleotide unclassified non-coding RNA is filed under the name Hevea brasiliensis (rubber tree). The record is from RNAcentral. Lineage: Eukaryota; Viridiplantae; Streptophyta; Magnoliopsida; Malpighiales; Euphorbiaceae.